AGGAAAGGGAACCCUGGAUAAAUUUGUCCCAAACCUUCAGAAAUCCAGAAUGUUACCGUUCACGGAGGGUUCCCGGCUGAAAAGACGAACCAAAAGUUUUAUGCUUCAGAACUAACAUCCUUAAUCUGCAACUAUGAUGAAGCUGUUGACCAUCGUUUUGGGUGCAGUGAUGCUACUCGGCUUCAUGGAACCAAUGAUGGGAGCUGGUCACCAACCAUGCUGGACCCGUUGGAUCAACUCAGACAGUCCCAAUGACGGACCAGGUGACAUAGAGCUUUUAGCUGACCUGAC
Non-coding RNA from Nothobranchius furzeri (turquoise killifish), 291 nucleotides. The record is from RefSeq and is a predicted model, not a curated record. Lineage: Eukaryota; Metazoa; Chordata; Actinopteri; Cyprinodontiformes; Nothobranchiidae.